UGGGGAAUAUUGGACAAUGGGCGCAAGCCUGAUCCAGCCAUGCCGCGUGAGUGAAGAAGGCCUUAGGGUUGUAAAUCUCUUUCGGCGGGGAAGAUAAUGACGGUACCCGCAGAAGAAGCCCCGGCUAACUCCGUGCCAGCAGCCGCGGUAAUACGGAGGGGGCUAGCGUUGUUCGGAAUUACUGGGCGUAAAGGGCACGUAGGCUGGCUGUUAAGUCGGGGGUGAAAUCCUGAGGCUCAACCUCAGAAUUGCCUCCGAUACUGGCGGUCUCGAGUGCGGGAGAGGUGAGUGGAAUUCCCAGUGUAGAGGUGAAAUUCGUAGAUAUUGGGAAGAACACCAGUGGCGAAGGCGGCUCACUGGCCCGCAACUGACGCUGAGGUGCGAAAGCGUGGGGAGCAA
Molecule: ribosomal RNA, 399 nt
Filed under: uncultured bacterium
Lineage: Bacteria
Description: bacterial SSU rRNA
Rfam family: Bacterial small subunit ribosomal RNA
Source: RNAcentral